CUCGACUCGAUGAAUUCUUGUGACAGAUCACAAAACUUGGACAGUAAUGGCCACCUCUCGACACAGGAAUUUGUAUGUACUGACAGCAACACAUCAGGGGCUGAUGGUAGCAGUGUCUUUGUGCAUGUUGGAAAAUCUCCAAGAGGAGUUCAUCUCAGCUCAGAUGACACAGAAGCACAAAGGCGUGAUGGGACUCUAACAAUAACCUUGGAAGCAGGGACACAAACAGGAGCUUUAUCUUACCGAGAUGUCUCAGUUCAGUGCUCACUUAUUCAUCACAGCAACUCUGUCCCUUUCCACUCUGCUAAUAAGAAAACCAGCGCCUUUACCACAAGGUGGCAGUAUUCUAAUUUUAAUCAGUUGCUUAAUCCAACAACACAUACUUCUCCAAAAAAUGGGCACAAAAGAUCAGGAAACAUGCCCUUAGGGCCAUUAGCAACAAACCAGCAGGCACAGAGACAUCCAAAAUCACAAAUGGGCAUCUCCUUCCG
Molecule: long non-coding RNA, 491 nt
Filed under: Sinocyclocheilus grahami
Lineage: Eukaryota; Metazoa; Chordata; Actinopteri; Cypriniformes; Cyprinidae
Description: lncRNA (ENSSGRG00000027491.1)
Source: RNAcentral